UUUACUUUAAGAAAUUUUUAGUGGCGGACGGGUGAGUAACGCGUGGGUAACCUACCCAUAAAGCCGGGACAACCCUUGGAAACGAGGGCUAAUACCGGAUAAUCUUGAGAAGUGGCAUCACUUUUCAAGGAAAGGUGGCCUCUGUAUAUGCUACCGAUUAUGGAUGGACCCGCGUCUGAUUAGCUAGUUGGUGGGGUAAAGGCCUACCAAGGCGACGAUCAGUAGCCGGCCUGAGAGGGUGAACGGCCACACUGGGACUGAGACACGGCCCAGACUCCUACGGGAGGCAGCAGUGGGGAAUCUUCCGCAAUGGACGAAAGUCUGACGGAGCAACGCCGCGUGUAUGAUGAAGGUCUUCGGAUUGUAAAGUACUGUCUUUGGGGAAGAAUGAUGCAUUUGAAAAUAUUGAGUGCAUAUGACGGUACCCAAGGAGGAAGCCCCGGCUAACUACGUGCCAGCAGCCGCGGUAAUACGUAGGGGGCAAGCGUUGUCCGGAAUUAUUGGGCGUAAAGGGCGCGUAGGCGGAUAGUUAAGUCCGGUGUGAAAGAUCAGGGCUCAACCCUGAGAGUGCAUCGGAAACUGGGUAUCUUGAGGACAGGAGAGGAAAGUGGAAUUCCACGUGUAGCGGUGAAAUGCGUAGAUAUGUGGAGGAACACCAGUGGCGAAGGCGACUUCUGGAC
RNAcentral lists this ribosomal RNA (680 nucleotides) under uncultured bacterium. Its description in RNAcentral is "bacterial SSU rRNA". It matches the Rfam family "Bacterial small subunit ribosomal RNA", at positions 75 to 734 of the family's 1533-position model. The record is from RNAcentral.